Molecule: non-coding RNA, 23 nt
Filed under: Arabidopsis thaliana (thale cress)
Lineage: Eukaryota; Viridiplantae; Streptophyta; Magnoliopsida; Brassicales; Brassicaceae
Source: RNAcentral
AUUUUAGGUGGCAUGUGUGACCA